Molecule: ribosomal RNA, 672 nt
Filed under: Citrobacter sp.
Lineage: Bacteria; Pseudomonadati; Pseudomonadota; Gammaproteobacteria; Enterobacterales; Enterobacteriaceae
Description: bacterial SSU rRNA
Rfam family: Bacterial small subunit ribosomal RNA
Source: RNAcentral
GCCGCGUGUAUGAUGAAGGCCUUCGGGUUGUAAAGUACUUUCAGCGGGGAGGAAGGUGCUGUGGUUAAUAACCGAAGCACUUGACGUUUCCCGGACAACAAGCACCGGCUAACUCCGUGCCAUCAGCCGCGGUAAUACGGAUGGUGCAAGCGUUAAUCGGAAUUACUGGGCGUAUAGCGCACGCAGGCCGUCUGUUAAGUCAGAUGUGAAAUCCCCGGGCUCAACCUGGGAACUGCAUCUGAUACUGGUGGCUUGAGUCUCGUAAAGGGGGGUAGAAUUCUGGUGUAGCGGUAAAAUGCGUAGAGAUCUGGAGGAAUACCGGUAGUGAAGGCGGCCCCCUGGACCAAGACUGACGCUCAGGUGCAAAUGCCUGGGGAGCACACAGGAUUAGAUACCCUGGUAGUCCACGCCGUAACAAUCUGUUACGUGGAGGUUGUGCCCUUGAGGCGUGGCUUCCGGAGCUAACGCGUUAAGUCGACCGCCUGGGGAGUACGGCCGCGGGGUUCCGACUCAGAUGAAUUGACGGGGGCCCGCACAAGCGGUGGAGCAUGUGCUUUAAUUCGAUGCAACGCGGACAACCUUACCUGGUCUUGACAUCCACUGAACUGUGGCAGAGAUAACUAGGUGCCUUCGGGAGCCUGUGCAGACAGGUGCUGCAUGCGUUUCUUCGCA